Long non-coding RNA from Sinocyclocheilus anshuiensis, 214 nucleotides. RefSeq lists it as uncharacterized. NCBI's taxonomy places the organism in Eukaryota, Metazoa, Chordata, Actinopteri, Cypriniformes, Cyprinidae. The record is from RefSeq and is a predicted model, not a curated record. The transcript has 3 exons.
CAUUGGUACGUUCUUCAUUUCUUUGUUGUAGAUUCAUGCUGACUCACAUGUGACUUGUCUACCAGCACCAGAUGUGCAUGAUGCUGCCCCUGAAAGUCCUGACCCAAAUUCAACAACUGGACAGAAGACUGGGAUCAUUACUAGAAUGGCCAGCUUGCUGUUUCCCUUCUCUCUGUUCUUCCGUAAGAGUCCUGCAAAUGAAAAAAUCCGAACC